GCCAGAGUGGGGUAGUGGUAUGAGUGUUGGGCUAUGACUCUGGAGACCAGGGUUCAAUUCCCAGCUCAGCCA
Molecule: transfer RNA, 72 nt
Filed under: Phrynosoma platyrhinos (Desert horned lizard)
Lineage: Eukaryota; Metazoa; Chordata; Lepidosauria; Squamata; Phrynosomatidae
Description: tRNA-OTHER
Source: RNAcentral